Molecule: ribosomal RNA, 253 nt
Filed under: uncultured bacterium
Lineage: Bacteria
Description: partial 16S ribosomal RNA
Rfam family: Bacterial small subunit ribosomal RNA
Source: RNAcentral
UACAGAGGGGGCAAGCGUUAUUCGGAAUUAUUGGGCGUAAAGGGCGCGUAGGCGGCCUGGCAAGUGGAAGGUGAAAUCCCUCGGCUUAACCGAGGAACUGCCCUCCAAACUGCUUGGCUUGAGUCCGGGAGAGGUGAGUGGAAUUCCCAGUGUAGCGGUGAAAUGCGUAGAUAUUGGGAGGAACACCAGUGGCGAAGGCGGCUCACUGGACCGGAACUGACGCUGAGGCGCGAAGGCUAGGGUAGCAAACAGG